UUGACCUUUGUGUAGAAACACCAUGUCAGAAUGGAGGAACCUGCACUUUUGUUGAUAGUUCUCGAACUUGUGCAUGUCCUAGCACCCACCAGGGAGUGAACUGUGAAACAGAGAUUGACCUUUGUGUAGAAACACCAUGUCAGAAUGGAGGAACCUGCACUUUUGUUGAUAGUUCUCGAACUUGUGCAUGUCCUAGCACCCACCAGGGAGUAAACUGUGAAACAGAGAUUGACCUUUGUGUAGAAACACCAUGUCAGAAUGGAGGAACCUGC
Long non-coding RNA from Strongylocentrotus purpuratus (purple sea urchin), 272 nucleotides. RefSeq lists it as uncharacterized. Lineage: Eukaryota; Metazoa; Echinodermata; Echinoidea; Camarodonta; Strongylocentrotidae. The record is from RefSeq and is a predicted model, not a curated record. The transcript is spliced from 3 exons.